RNAcentral lists this ribosomal RNA (844 nucleotides) under uncultured Gammaproteobacteria bacterium. RNAcentral's name for it is "bacterial SSU rRNA". It matches the Rfam family "Bacterial small subunit ribosomal RNA", at positions 58 to 897 of the family's 1533-position model. The record is from RNAcentral. Lineage: Bacteria; Pseudomonadati; Pseudomonadota; Gammaproteobacteria.
CAAGUCGAGCGGUAACGCGGGAGCAAUCCUGGCGACGAGCGGCGAACGGGUGAGUAACGCUUCGGAAUCUGCCCAGUAGUGGGGAAUAACCAACCGAAAGGUUGGCUAAUGCCGCAUACGACCUACGGGUGAAAGCGGGGGAUCGCAAGACCUCGCGCUAUUGGAUGAGCCGAAGUCGGAUUAGCUAGUUGGUAGGGUAACGGCCUACCAAGGCGACAAUCCGUAGCUGGUCUGAGAGGACGACCAGCCACACUGGGACUGAGACACGGCCCAGACUCCUACGGGAGGCAGGAGUGGGGAAUAUUGGACAAUGGGGGCAACCCUGAUCCAGCGACGCCGCGUGUGUGAAGAAGGCCUGCGGGUUGUAAAGCACUUUUAGUGGGGAUGAAAAGCCUGGAGCUAAUACCUCCGGGUCUUGACCUAACCCACAGAAAAAGCACCGGCUAACUCUGUGCCAGCAGCCGCGGUAAUACAGAGGGUGCGAGCGUUAAUCGGAAUUACUGGGCGUAAAGCGUGCGUAGACGGUUCUGUAAGUCGGGUGUGAAAUCCCCGGGCUCAACCUGGGAAUUGCAUUCGAGACUGCAGAGCUAGGGUGCGGAAGAGGGAAGCGGAAUUUCCGGUGUAGCGGUGAAAUGCGUAGAUAUCGGAAGGAACAUCAGUGGCGAAAGCGGCUUCCUGGUCCAGCACCGACGUUCAGGCACGAAAGCGUGGGGAGCAAACAGGAUUAGAUACCCUGGUAGUCCACGCCAUAAACGAUGAGAACUAGACGUUGAGAGGGUAAGCCUCCCAGUGUCGCAGCUAACGCGCUAAGUUCUCCGCCUGGGGAGUACGGCCGCAAGGUUGA